AUUUAUAUAGUUUAAUAAAACAUUACAUUUUCAAUGUAAAAUUAAAAUAAAUUUUUUAUAAAUU
RNAcentral lists this transfer RNA (64 nucleotides) under Hamaxiella brunnescens. RNAcentral describes it as "tRNA-Glu". Lineage: Eukaryota; Metazoa; Arthropoda; Insecta; Diptera; Tachinidae. The record is from RNAcentral.